CCCUAAUAAUAUCGGAUGAUUCUACAUUUUUAAAAGUAAAUUCUACCCCUAAUGUGAGGCUUGAAUUCAUGAUCCUGAAAUAAAUAGUGGCAAUGCUCUACCAACUGAGCCAGCCAGGCACCUCUUAAUUAACUGGAACCCUUGGAUACAUAAACAUUUUUUUCUUCUUGGUUACAGCAAUUUUAACAUUUUAUUGGGGUGAUACCUUAAGUACAACAAACAUUCUCCUAAUUUUGAUUGCCUCCUCUCCCCCUAUUCCCCAUAUUGGCACAUAAAAGAUGGUGAUUGGGUGCAAAAAGCUAGUAUACUAAGUGGAAAAGUGGGAUUUCAAUUCAAGUAUGCCUAAUGUCACAGCCGAAGCUUUUCAUCAGUAUGCUGUGUUGCCUUUUUAAGUUAAAUAAAUGCUGCCCCACAUCUAAAACUUUUAUUGACUGUGUUACAUUUAUUGUUCACUCCCUUGACCUUACUCCUCAAUCUCUGUGGGAGGAAUAUACCUCCAUACCAUUUUAAUAUUGAGCUUGGCCUUGUGAUUUGCUUUGGCCUAGUAGUGGUUGGAGUAUGGUCCAUCACCCCUUGACUUUGUGCUUAGUCAUCUGGCUAAGGAGACAUGACAAGGGCAGAGGUAUAGAAUAUAUUUUGUUGUUAGACUUAUCUUUUGCCCUUCUGCCAUUACCAUGAAGUGAACAUGACCCACGGAUCCCGCUGUUCCAGGGAAAAUGAGAGAUAUGUGGAGCAUACCUGGAUCCAUCCCAAAGUCUGGUGCCAAGCCCACGUAGGCCUAACCUAGGACAGUGAAUUUGGGUGGACUUGGCAAAGAAUGAAAAUCAAGUCAGUGAAGAUUCUGUGUUGUGGAGGCAAAAAGAAAAAGAAGAGAAACAUUCAAGUACAGUGGAGAUGCUUAUCGUCAGUGGUGAACCAUUCAGAGCCUCUAUCUGAAGACUCCUUUGGUGGAUAUACUCACUAAUGGCUAUUUGGUAUUCUAGUGUCUGGGCCUCCUGCUCUUCUGACCUUGAGUAUCCUCUUCCAUAGCAAGCAACUCUUUUUCUUUGGAAUAUAGUGCAGCGAAUAGGGUAGUGAGACAUUGUCAAAGAAUUUGGACUUUGUUCCCUUGCUUCUCUGAUCUUGAGCGAGGCAAGUAGUUCCUGCCAACUUCAUAUUGCCUCUGAGGACACAACUUUAAGACCUGCCAGGGAUUUUUCUUGACUUUGUAUCUGUGGCACCUGAAGCUGAGGUGGUCAUAAUCAAGUUCCAAAGUGGUCUGGAGCAUUUGCAAUACAGAACCUGCUUCUCUUGCUACUUGGACCAUAUUCAAAUCCAUGGGAGGAGGCUGGGUCUUUUAAUCCCUUCAGGUGUGCUGCCCGAAAUGCUGGUGUGUCCGCCCAGAUGCAAAAGAGUAAAAAUGUAUGAUCCCUGCAUAUGAAGUUCAAGAACAGGAUGCAGUUAACAAAAAAAUGCCUCACCUGUAGAGCUGAAGCUGAGUCUACCUUUGUUUGGCCCUCUCUUCUCCUCCCCCUGACACAGAGCCAUCUUACUUUCCACCCUACUUCUAAUCUCAUUCCUGUCCUAACUCCAGCCAUGGCCAAUAUUUGCUAGAUGAUUCUUUGAAUCUGGCUAAUGUGGAAUUUUGCAAGGACAAAGAGGAUUUGCUCACUAACCAGUAAGAGAGGCUCUGCUCCAGCCCACUCCUUGAUACUUUAUCAACUGGCAAGAUAUGGACAAGUCAUGAUGAUGACAGACACUAUGCUUGUCUUCUGGGUUGGAAACUUUCUAGAAUUUCUUGUUGCAGGAUUGGAUCUCCUCCUUCUGACCAUUGUUUGAAUCUGUAGACACUGCUCUGGAAAUCUCGACUGUCCUGGCUGAGGCCAGCCUCUGCAUUCUGGUCAGUUUUCCUCAGCACCUAUCCUAGUUAAUGGGUCUUUGCUUCAUCCAGCCUCCUUUUCCAUCACAGUCUGUGGCUGAAUCCAUCUAUGAUUUGUCUUUGUAGGUGAUGUGAUGGAUACUACAAAAAGCUGUAUCCCUGAAAUGUCUAUCUCUGAUAUCUGCAAUUUAUUAUUAUCAGAUUCAGCUCUUUGAGAUAGGGGAUUGUGUCUAUAGCAGGCAUCUAUAAAAAUGGAUAUAUUCCAGGUAUCUUUGUAAGGGUAGAUUAGGCUAGUUUGUAGUAAUGAGUAAACCCAAAUAAAUAUAUAAUAUAUCAACACAAUAGUUUACUUCUUGCUCAUAUAGCAGUUUGUGUGAGUUCAGGUCAGCAAAUGUUCUUCUCCCCACAGUCAUUUAAAGAUCUGGAUUUUCCCCCAUCUUGUGGCCCCUCAAUUCCCUAAGGCCUCAUUGGCAUCUACACCCAGCUGGUGGAAGAGAAGUGUAAGCCUGGAGAGUCAACGCUUUUCUUAAGAGCUUUGGCAUGGAGGUGGUGCCUAGACAUUAUUCUCACAUGUCAUUGGUCAGAAUUCAAUCACAUGGCCACAACUAAUUGUAAGGGAGGUUGGGAAUGUUGUCUAGCCAUGUUACCAGGGGAAAAAAUGAAAGAAUAGAUUUUGAAGGACAGCUGUCUCUGCCAUACCAAAUAAGGAUAACACACUGAUACAUUUUUAGCCUCUGAUACUUUGACACAGUUUUGUUCAUUAAAUUGCUAAUACUUUAGGAAGCAGAUUACAAAAGAAUAGGAUAUAGGCUAGAUUAGGGGAGUGAAAUAGGAGGAAUCAGGGGAAUAUAUUGCCAAUAUAUGGGUCAGUGAUGGGAAAGGUCAGGCCUCUUUCUUUCUUUUUCUCUUUCUUUUUUAAUUAAGUUCUAUGCCUAAUGUGGGGCUCAAACUCAUGACCCCAAGAUCAAGAGUCACAUGCUCCACUGACUGAGCCACAAAGGUCAGGUUUCUUUGAGGUGACAAAUUUUGGGGGACAGGACUCUCAGAAAGCCAGGGCUCAAGAUGAGGGUACUGGGAAGAGGAGAAACAAAGGGAUGGAAACAAAUUAAAGAUAAAAAUGAUGUCUUAGUUUUGUUUCAGGUUAGACUUGAUUCUAAUAUCUAUUCAAAAUGCUUGCCAAGUCAGGGUCUUCAAAAUGUGAAUAAUCUAAUCUUGUGCCUAUUUCUGCCAGUAAUCUGUCUUUUUCAAGGAGUGGGAACAAAAUCCUUCCAAAGCCCUGGUUCUCAGUAUGCUCCAGCAGGUUCCUGCUUCUUGUAAGAUUUUUCAACUUAGUACCACACCAGAAGAAUUAAAAGCCCAUCAAUUUCAUCAUUCUUGAUCUUUGCUCAGGUCACAGUGAAGCAAAAACUUUCUCUUAACUAUCCAGUUGGUGUCAGGCUGCCUACUGGGAGCCUAAUUAUGUAUGAGGCAAAUCUUUUCAUAUAGGUAUUGGGUUCUGUUUCCUGUUUGGCCACUUUAUACAAACCUGACUGACCUCUAGUUCAUUUUCAUCCUCCCCUCCUCCAUAACCCUACAGACUGUGAGAGAUUGACCCACGCUGGUGACUUACCCACACAUCCUUAACCACCUGGGCUGGAGCAUGAGUUGAUUCAGCAGGAAACAGGGAGGUGAAUGGGAGGGUGGAGGUUGUCAAGCAGUGAGCCUCAGCUUUUGUCUGCAGAGUUGUUAAUGGAGCUGAAUCUGAUUUGUAUUUAGCUGAAAGCACUUUGCAAAGGCAGACAGGAGGCAAAGGUCUGGAGAUACAAAGGCAUAGAAACCAUAGCUUUUGCUUUUUAGCUUGUGUCCUGUAUAUUUUCACUGGAUGGCAAAAGAAUAAUUGAAGGUAGAGAGUCGUGGGCAGUCAAUCCAUCCUGGAUGAAUAGAUUUCUAAGGGUGUUAGUGCCCUGUUAUCGGUAGAUGGUUAUCCAUGUAAUGUGAUGUGAGGAGUGCUCCAAAAUAUCCUUUUCUUGCAGUGCCUUACAUCCUAUUAUUAAAGAUUACCUUUUAAGAACUUUCUUAAGCAGGGGUGCCUGGGUGGCUCAGUCGAAGUGUCUGACUUUGGUUCAGGUCAUGAUCUCAUGGUUUGUGAGUUAGAACCCUGCAUCAGGCUU
Molecule: long non-coding RNA, 4008 nt
Organism: Felis catus (domestic cat)
Lineage: Eukaryota; Metazoa; Chordata; Mammalia; Carnivora; Felidae
Exons: 6
Source: RefSeq, a predicted model, not a curated record